UCGCACACCCAUGCGCCCAGGUCCUGCGCGCCGCCCACGCCUGACUGAGGCCUGCUUGCUACAUAGUGUCAGCC
RNAcentral lists this small RNA (74 nucleotides) under Xanthomonas campestris pv. incanae. RNAcentral's name for it is "sX9 sRNA". Lineage: Bacteria; Pseudomonadati; Pseudomonadota; Gammaproteobacteria; Lysobacterales; Lysobacteraceae. RNAcentral also lists the same sequence under 1 other name. The record is from RNAcentral.